UAGAAUGUAGUGUAAUGGUAGCACGGAGAAAUUUGAGUUCUUUAGAAUAGGUUCAAGUCCUGGGAUUCUAG
RNAcentral lists this transfer RNA (71 nucleotides) under Cavia porcellus (domestic guinea pig). It matches the Rfam family "tRNA". From Rfam's summary of the family: Transfer RNA (tRNA) molecules are approximately 80 nucleotides in length. The record is from Rfam by way of RNAcentral. Lineage: Eukaryota; Metazoa; Chordata; Mammalia; Rodentia; Caviidae.